GAAGUAGAGCAAAGAGGAUAAAAUGGGCCCAUUUUAGAAACACUUGAACAUUAUUCUGUAGCCUUCUUCCCUUUCGUUUCCGAGUCUGCUCCUGUGAAGUGCUGAGUGCCCUUCACUCCCAUUAUCCUCAUAGGAAGUGCUCUGCAUUUUCUCUGCAUUCUGAUUUUUCCAAAACAGCUAGCUGCCUCUUCAGGCAGUUUCAUAUUUUACUUAGGUUAUCUAGACAAAUAGGCUCAGCCUGAACAUCUCAGUGGGUCCCAUGACUGUAUUUGCUUUAUGACCUAAAUAUGAAAUGGUGAAAAAGAUACCUGUGGAACUCUCGCCAGGGUGAGCAUCUGAAUAUUGUUGACAGUCUUCUGGUGAGAGGCUGAUGGGACUGACUAGACUGCGGCAGAAUCUCAAACAGGUCCUGGCUUGGGGCAUGGCUGGAGCCCCCCUGCUGCAUCUCCCCACUUCUUCUCCACCUGCUCACUGAGGUCUCUGUCUCAGGCUCCUCCAAGGUAUCCAUGGUGGUCUGCAGCGUGCGGGAUAUUGGAGCAAUUAAAGAAAAGACGGCCCUCAGUAAUACUUCCCAGGUUUCAUACAGAGCCUUGCGUGCUGGGACAGGACUUGAGGAGUUUAGUCAGUGCUGUGAAAUCCAGAGAAAACUAUUAAAGGGCUGCAUGAUAGCAAGACUGAAAACUGAAGAGACAUUAAGGAAGGAAUAAUGAUGCUGAAGGAAAAUUAGCAAUUAUUUUCUCACCAUUCCGACACUGUUCGGCUUCACAAAAGCGAAUUCCUUCAGGAACACAGAUAAAGGAAUGGACAUGGGGAAUUCCAUUCUACAGAUUUAAAAC
Mauremys reevesii (Reeves's turtle) is the source of this 836-nucleotide long non-coding RNA. RefSeq lists it as uncharacterized. The record is from RefSeq and is a predicted model, not a curated record. The transcript is spliced from 5 exons. NCBI's taxonomy places the organism in Eukaryota, Metazoa, Chordata, Testudines, Geoemydidae.